UAGAUAUAAAGGAACCGUACUGUAAACCGACACAGGUGAUCAGGUAGAGAAUACCAAGGCGCUUGAGAGAACUCGGGUGAAGGAACUAGGCAAAAUGGUACCGUAACUUCGGGAGAAGGUACGCCGGUUUGGGUGAUGGGACUUGCUCCUUGAGCCUGGGCUGGCCGAAGUGACCAGGUGGCGGCGACUGUUUAUUAAAAACAUAGCACUGUGCAAACACGUAAGUGGACGUAUACGGUGUGACGCCUGCCCGGUGCCGGAAGGUUAAUUGAUGGGGUUAUCUUCGGAGAAGCUCUUGAUCGAAGCCCCGGUAAACGGCGGCCGUAACAAUAACGGUCCUAAGGUAGCGAAAUUCCUUGUCGGGUAAGUUCCGACCUGCACGAAUGGCGUAACGAUGGCCACACUGUCUCCACCCGAGACUCAGUGAAAUUGAAAUCGCUGUUAAGAUGCAGUGUACCCGCGGCUAGACGGAAAGACCCCGUGAACCUUUACUAUAGCUUCACACUGGACUCUGACCUUACUUGUGUAGGAUAGCUGGGAGGCUUUGAAGCGGUGGCGCCAGCCAUCGUGGAGCCAACCUUGAAAUACCACCCUGGUAAUGUUGGGGUUCUAACUCAGGUCCGUAAUCCGGAUCGAGGACAGUGUGUGGUGGGUAGUUUGACUGGGGCGGUCUCCUCCCAAAGAGUAACGGAGGAGCACGAAGGUGCGCUAAUCACGGUCGGAAAUCGUGAGGUUAGUGUAAAGGCACAAGCGCGCUUGACUGCGAGUCUGACAAGACGAGCAGGUACGAAAGUAGGUCUUAGUGAUCCGGUGGUUCUGUAUGGAAGGGCCAUCGCUCAACGGAUAAAAGGUACUCCGGGGAUAACAGGCUGAUACCGCCCAAGAGUUCACAUCGACGGCGGUGUUUGGCACCUCGAUGUCGGCUCAUCACAUCCUGGGGCUGAAGCCGGUCCCAAGGGUAUGGCUGUUCGCCAUUUAAAGUGGUACGCGAGCUGGGUUUAGAACGUCGUGAGACAGUUCGGUCCCUAUCUGCCGUGGGCGUUGGAGAAUUGAGGGAAGCUGCUCCUAGUACGAGAGGACCGGAGUGGACGAACCGCUGGUGUUCGGGUUGUGUCGCCAGACGCAUUGCCCGGUAGCUACGUUCGGACAGGAUAAGCGCUGAAAGCAUCUAAGCGCGAAGCCCCUCCCAAGAUAAGUUCUCCCUGACCCCUUGAGGGUCCUGAAGGGCCGUCGAAGACUACGACGU
RNAcentral lists this ribosomal RNA (1246 nucleotides) under metagenome. Its description in RNAcentral is "bacterial LSU rRNA". It matches the Rfam family "Bacterial large subunit ribosomal RNA", at positions 1628 to 2853 of the family's 2925-position model. The record is from RNAcentral.